Molecule: ribosomal RNA, 207 nt
Filed under: uncultured bacterium
Lineage: Bacteria
Description: partial 16S ribosomal RNA
Rfam family: Bacterial small subunit ribosomal RNA
Source: RNAcentral
UGCGUAGGUGGCUGGGAAAGUUUGAUGUGAAAUCCCCGGGCUCAACCCGGGAACUGCAUUGAAAACUAUCUAGCUAGAGGAUCGGAGGGGAGACUGGAAUUCUUGGUGUAGCAGUGAAAUGCGUAGAUAUCAAGAGGAACACCAGUGGCGAAGGCGAGUCUCUGGACGAUACCUGACACUGAGGCACGAAAGCUAGGGGAGCAAACA